CGCACCAUAGUUUAUAUAUAAUAAAACAUUGACCUGCAGAAUCAAGAAAGGAAUUAAUCCUGGUGUGU
Molecule: transfer RNA, 68 nt
Filed under: Chicoreus asianus
Lineage: Eukaryota; Metazoa; Mollusca; Gastropoda; Neogastropoda; Muricidae
Also listed under: 1 other name
Description: tRNA-Cys
Source: RNAcentral